AAAACGGUAAUGUGCGCAUAUGCAAUGUUGGGUACUAUUCUCCAACUUAACGUUGAGUAGUUUGUACCUAACGUUGGAUGAAAAUAAUUGAACCCUAUAGCGAGCUUUGUUGAUGGUGGUUUUGCUCGUUUUAUUUACUUCGUGAUUAGUUUUUUCCGCGGUGGCAUUUCGUUCGCGGUUUCGUUUAUGAACCAUUGACUGUUCGAUGUCGAAUGUUCGAAAUUGGACUGCAGUGUUACGUAUAAACAGCAGAAAAUGGAAGAACAGCAUCAAUCUUCUUAUGACUUAGAUGGAUCAUCGAGACUACCAGACAUUUUCAUACCGACCCGUGAUAGCUAAUCAGGAAGCUCAAUAGUAUGCCAAACUGUGGGACUACUGCGGAUCGAAUCCCGAGGCUGGAAUGCAGCCGCAGCCGGGUUCGAAUCUAAUGGCAUCCGCACCCACAAUAUUUUUGACAUAGGACUACGUGCUAGUUUACUACACUGGGUUUCACGCCAACUCAACCAGAA
Molecule: long non-coding RNA, 509 nt
Organism: Sabethes cyaneus
Lineage: Eukaryota; Metazoa; Arthropoda; Insecta; Diptera; Culicidae
Exons: 3
Source: RefSeq, a predicted model, not a curated record